RNAcentral lists this non-coding RNA (158 nucleotides) under Sphingomonas sp. BGYR3. RNAcentral describes it as "6S RNA". It matches the Rfam family "6S / SsrS RNA". From Rfam's summary of the family: E. coli 6S RNA was the first non coding RNA to be sequenced, but its function was unknown until recently. It consists of 184 nucleotides that fold into an extended hairpin structure with a large single-stranded internal bulge. The 6S RNA specifically associates with RNA polymerase holoenzyme containing the sigma70 specificity factor. The record is from RNAcentral. Lineage: Bacteria; Pseudomonadati; Pseudomonadota; Alphaproteobacteria; Sphingomonadales; Sphingomonadaceae.
GCGGGACUGCCCGGUGCGCGCUUUAGCGAUUAUCCCUGAGGCGAUUAAAUCUCCAUGGGAGCUGUCCCUGUUCGGACCCUGGUCCGAUGCAUAUGGCCCCCACCUGACGUUACUGGCGUCAGAGGAUAUUCAAGCAAACGGCCCAUGGUGGUUCCGCC